GAAAUACUCCCUCCGUCCCUCCGUCCAAAAUUCUUGUCUUAGAUUUGUCUAAAUACAGAUGUAUCAAGUCACGUUUUGGUAUUAGAUACAUCCGUAUCUAGACUAAUCUAAGACAAGAAUUUUGGGACGGAAGGAGUAUAAG
Triticum urartu is the source of this 142-nucleotide non-coding RNA. Lineage: Eukaryota; Viridiplantae; Streptophyta; Magnoliopsida; Poales; Poaceae. The record is from Rfam.